UUGUACACACCGCCCGUCGCUCCUACCGAUUGGGUGUGCUGGUGAAGUGUUCGGAUUGGCGAGAGGCGGUGGCAACACUGUUUCCUGCCGAGAAGUUCAUUAAACCCUCCCACCUAGAGGAAGGAGAAGUCGUAACAAGGUUUCCGUAGGUGAACCUGC
RNAcentral lists this ribosomal RNA (159 nucleotides) under Mychonastes afer. RNAcentral's name for it is "5.8S ribosomal RNA". It matches the Rfam family "Eukaryotic small subunit ribosomal RNA", at positions 1660 to 1818 of the family's 1831-position model. The record is from RNAcentral. Lineage: Eukaryota; Viridiplantae; Chlorophyta; Chlorophyceae; Sphaeropleales; Mychonastaceae.